Molecule: ribosomal RNA, 429 nt
Filed under: Gemmatimonadota bacterium
Lineage: Bacteria; Pseudomonadati; Gemmatimonadota
Description: Gemmatimonadetes bacterium partial 16S ribosomal RNA
Rfam family: Bacterial small subunit ribosomal RNA
Source: RNAcentral
UAGGGAAUCUUCGGCAAUGGACGAAAGUCUGACCGAGCAACGCCGCGUGAGUGAAGAAGGUUUUCGGAUCGUAAAACUCUGUUGUUAGAGAAGAACAAGGACGUUAGUAACUGAACGUCCCCUGACGGUAUCUAACCAGAAAGCCACGGCUAACUACGUGCCAGCAGCCGCGGUAAUACGUAGGUGGCAAGCGUUGUCCGGAUUUAUUGGGCGUAAAGCGAGCGCAGGCGGUUUCUUAAGUCUGAUGUGAAAGCCCCCGGCUCAACCGGGGAGGGUCAUUGGAAACUGGGAGAGUUGAGUGCAGAAGAGGAGAGUGGAAUUCCAUGUGUAGCGGUGAAAUGCGUAGAUAUAUGGAGGAACACCAGUAGCGAAGGCGGCUCUCUGGUCUGUAACUGACGCUGAGGCUCGAAGGCGUGGGGAGCAAACAGG